GCCAGCGUAGCUCAACUGGUAGAGCGACUGAUUUGUAAUCAGUAGGUUGUGGGUUCGAGUCCCACCGCUGGCUCCA
RNAcentral lists this transfer RNA (76 nucleotides) under Thermotoga sp. Its description in RNAcentral is "tRNA-Thr". It matches the Rfam family "tRNA". From Rfam's summary of the family: Transfer RNA (tRNA) molecules are approximately 80 nucleotides in length. Their secondary structure includes four short double-helical elements and three loops (D, anti-codon, and T loops). Further hydrogen bonds mediate the characteristic L-shaped molecular structure. tRNAs have two regions of fundamental functional importance: the anti-codon, which is responsible for specific mRNA codon recognition, and the 3' end, to which the tRNAs corresponding amino acid is attached (by aminoacyl-tRNA synthetases). tRNAs cope with the degeneracy of the genetic code in two manners: having more than one tRNA (with a specific anti-codon) for a particular amino acid; and 'wobble' base-pairing, i.e. permitting non-standard base-pairing at the 3rd anti-codon position. Lineage: Bacteria; Thermotogati; Thermotogota; Thermotogae; Thermotogales; Thermotogaceae. The record is from RNAcentral. RNAcentral also lists the same sequence under 5 other names.